Molecule: ribosomal RNA, 499 nt
Filed under: uncultured bacterium
Lineage: Bacteria
Description: partial 16S ribosomal RNA
Rfam family: Bacterial small subunit ribosomal RNA
Source: RNAcentral
GACGAACGCUGGCGGCGUGCUUAACACAUGCAAGUCGAACGGGCCUGUCUUCUUUUUUGGGGGUGGGUUGAGUGGCGAACGGGUGAGUAUCACGUGAGUAACCUGCCCUUCGGUCCUGGAUAACCGCUUGAAAGGGCGGCUAAUACGGGGUGGUCCGGUUGGUCCGCAUGGGCUGGUCGGGAUAGAUUCACUGUUUUUGGUGUUUCGGCGGGGGAUGGGCUCGCGGCCUAUCAGCUUGUUGGUGGGGCGAUGGCCUACCAAGGCGGUGACGGGUAGCCGGGCUGAGGGGGUCGGCGGCCACACUGGGACUGGGCUACGGCCCAGACUCCUGCGGGAGGCAGCAGUGGGGGGUAUUGCACAAGGGGCGGAAGCCUGAUGCAGCGACGUCGCGUGAGGGAUGGAGGCCUUCGGGUUGUGAACCUCUGUUUCCGGUGGUGAAGGCCCUGUCCGUGUGGUGGGGUUGACGGUAGCCGGGGAUGAAGCGCCGGCUAACUACGUG